Molecule: ribosomal RNA, 499 nt
Filed under: uncultured bacterium
Lineage: Bacteria
Description: partial 16S ribosomal RNA
Rfam family: Bacterial small subunit ribosomal RNA
Source: RNAcentral
GACGAACGCUGGCGGCGUGCUUAACACAUGCAAGUCGAACGGGCCUGUCUUCUUUUUUGGGGGUGGGUUGAGUGGCGAACGGGUGAGUAUCACGUGAGUAACCUGCCCUUCGGUCCUGGAUAACCGCUUGAAAGGGCGGCUAAUACGGGGUGGUCCGGUUGGUCCGCAUGGGCUGGUCGGGAUAGAUUCACUGUUUUUGGUGUUUCGGCGGGGGAUGGGCUCGCGGCCUAUCAGCUUGUUGGUGGGGUGAUGGCCUACCAAGGCGGGGACGGGUAGCCGGCCUGAGAGGGUGGGCGGCCACACUGGGACUGAGAUACGGCCCAGACUCCUGCGGGAGGCAGCAGUGGGGGGUAUUGCACAAUGGGCGGAAGCCUGAUGCAGCGACGUCGCGUGAGGGAUGGAGGCCUUCGGGUUGUGAACCUCUGUUUCCGGUGGUGAAGGCCCUGUCCGUGUGGUGGGGUUGACGGUAGCCGGGGAUGAAGCGCCGGCUAACUACGUG